CGCAUCUGUGCAUGCAGCAUAUCAAUAAGCGGAGGAAAAGAAACUAACAAGGAUUCCCUUAGUAACGGCGAGUGAAGCGGGAAGAGCUCAAAUUUGAAAUCUUCAAGGUUUUACCUUGACGAAUUGUAGUUUAAAGAAGUGUUUUCUGUUGAAGUUUUGGUAAAAGUUCUUUGGAAUAGGACAUCAUAGAGGGUGAGAAUCCCGUAUUUGACCAUUUACUUUUCAGCUGUGUGAUACACUUUCAAAGAGUCGGAUUGUUUGGGAAUGCAGUCCAAAAUGGGUGGUAAAUUUCAUCUAAAGCUAAAUAUUGGCGAGAGACCGAUAGCGAACAAGUACCGUGAGGGAAAGAUGAAAAGAACUUUGAAAAGAGAGUUAAACAGUACGUGAAAUUGUCAAAAGGGAAGCGUUUGACACCAGUGUUGUUUUCUCGAAAAUCAAUUAAAAAGAGUUUGAUUUUGUUGUGUAUUGACCUUAACAGCUUGCAUUUCAAUUUUCUUGCUUUUUUUAAUGCACUUUUCGUUUAACAAGUCAACAUCAGUUUCUUUUGUUGUAAAAAGGUCAUUGGAAGGUGGCUUUCUUUUCGGAGAAAGUGUUUAUAGCCUUUGACUCCUGCAAUCGGAGAGACUGAGGUCUGCAGCGUAGAUCCUUCAGGGUUAGAUACAUUUGUGCUAAGUUAUAGCUUUUUAUAGACAACUUGUUGACUAUGAUUAGUCUUGUAGCUUACUCGCUUAUGCUAUUUUACCUACGCUUAGGAUGUUGAUGUGAUACUGCGAGCA
RNAcentral lists this ribosomal RNA (776 nucleotides) under uncultured Neocallimastigales. Its description in RNAcentral is "partial large subunit ribosomal RNA". It matches the Rfam family "Eukaryotic large subunit ribosomal RNA", at positions 26 to 629 of the family's 3401-position model. Lineage: Eukaryota; Fungi; Neocallimastigomycota; Neocallimastigomycetes; Neocallimastigales. The record is from RNAcentral.